Molecule: ribosomal RNA, 1235 nt
Filed under: metagenome
Description: bacterial SSU rRNA
Rfam family: Bacterial small subunit ribosomal RNA
Source: RNAcentral
CGGGUAGCCGGCCUGAGAGGGCGACCGGCCACAUUGGGACUGAGAUACGGCCCAGACUCCUACGGGAGGCAGCAGUGGGGAAUAUUGCACAAUGGGCGCAAGCCUGAUGCAGCGACGCCGCGUGCGGGAUGACGGCCUUCGGGUUGUAAACCGCUUUUGACUGGGAGCAAGCCCUUCGGGGUGAGUGUACCUUUCGAAUAAGCACCGGCUAACUACGUGCCAGCAGCCGCGGUAAUACGUAGGGUGCAAGCGUUAUCCGGAAUUAUUGGGCGUAAAGGGCUCGUAGGCGGUUCGUCGCGUCCGGUGUGAAAGUCCAUCGCUUAACGGUGGAUCCGCGCCGGGUACGGGCGGGCUUGAGUGCGGUAGGGGAGACUGGAAUUCCCGGUGUAACGGUGGAAUGUGUAGAUAUCGGGAAGAACACCAAUGGCGAAGGCAGGUCUCUGGGCCGUCACUGACGCUGAGGAGCGAAAGCGUGGGGAGCGAACAGGAUUAGAUACCCUGGUAGUCCACGCCGUAAACGGUGGAUGCUGGAUGUGGGGACCAUUCCACGGUCUCCGUGUCGGAGCCAACGCGUUAAGCAUCCCGCCUGGGGAGUACGGCCGCAAGGCUAAAACUCAAAGAAAUUGACGGGGGCCCGCACAAGCGGCGGAGCAUGCGGAUUAAUUCGAUGCAACGCGAAGAACCUUACCUGGGCUUGACAUGUUCCCGACAGCCCCAGAGAUGGGGCCUCCCUUCGGGGCGGGUUCACAGGUGGUGCAUGGUCGUCGUCAGCUCGUGUCGUGAGAUGUUGGGUUAAGUCCCGCAACGAGCGCAACCCUCGCCCUGUGUUGCCAGCACGUCGUGGUGGGAACUCACGGGGGACCGCCGGGGUCAACUCGGAGGAAGGUGGGGAUGACGUCAGAUCAUCAUGCCCCUUACGUCCAGGGCUUCACGCAUGCUACAAUGGCCGGUACAACGGGAUGCGACCUCGUGAGGGGGAGCGGAUCCCUUAAAACCGGUCUCAGUUCGGAUUGGAGUCUGCAACCCGACUCCAUGAAGGCGGAGUCGCUAGUAAUCGCGGAUCAGCAACGCCGCGGUGAAUGCGUUCCCGGGCCUUGUACACACCGCCCGUCAAGUCAUGAAAGUGGGUAGCACCCGAAGCCGGUGGCCCAACCUUUUUGGGGGGAGCCGUCUAAGGUGAGACUCGUGAUUGGGACUAAGUCGUAACAAGGUAGCCGUACCGGAAGGUGCGGCUG